UUACAAUGGCAGGUACAGAGGGAUGCUACCGGGCGACCGGAUGCGGAUCUCGAAAGCCUGUCCCAGUUCGGACUGGAGUCUGCAACCCGACUCCACGAAGUUGGAUUCGCUAGUAAUCGCGCAUCAGCCAUGGCGCGGUGAAUACGUUCCCGGGCCUUGUACACACCGCCCGUCAAGCCAUGGGAGCCGGGGGCGCCUGAAGUCCGGGACCGCGAGGACCGGCCUAGGGCGAAACUGGUAACUGGGGCUAAGUCGUAACAAGGUAUC
RNAcentral lists this ribosomal RNA (267 nucleotides) under uncultured bacterium. RNAcentral's name for it is "partial 16S ribosomal RNA". It matches the Rfam family "Bacterial small subunit ribosomal RNA", at positions 1225 to 1500 of the family's 1533-position model. The record is from RNAcentral.